UGGGGAAUUUUGGACAAUGGGGGCAACCCUGAUCCAGCCAUGCCGCGUGUGUGAAGAAGGCCUUCGGGUUGUAAAGCACUUUCGGCCGGAACGAAAUCGCGCGGGCUAACACUCCGCGUGGAUGACGGUACCGGAAGAAGAAGCACCGGCUAACUACGUGCCAGCAGCCGCGGUAAUACGUAGGGUGCGAGCGUUAAUCGGAAUUACUGGGCAUAAAGUGUGCGCAGGUGGCCGCGCAAGUCGAGUGUGAAAGCCCCGGGCUUAACUUGGGAAUUGCGCUCGAAACUACGUGGCUAGAGUGUGGCAGAGGAAGGUGGAAUUCCACGUGUAGCGGUGAAAUGCGUAGAGAUGUGGAGGAACACCGAUGGCGAAGGCAGCCUUCUGGGCCAACACUGACGCUCAUGCACGAAAGCGUGGGGAGCAAACAGGAUUAGAUACCCUGGUAGUCCACGCCCUAAACGAUGAUGACUAGUUGUU
RNAcentral lists this ribosomal RNA (477 nucleotides) under uncultured Pseudomonadota bacterium. Its description in RNAcentral is "bacterial SSU rRNA". It matches the Rfam family "Bacterial small subunit ribosomal RNA", at positions 355 to 824 of the family's 1533-position model. The record is from RNAcentral. Lineage: Bacteria; Pseudomonadati; Pseudomonadota.